RNAcentral lists this transfer RNA (77 nucleotides) under Muribaculaceae bacterium. Its description in RNAcentral is "tRNA-Pro". It matches the Rfam family "tRNA". From Rfam's summary of the family: Transfer RNA (tRNA) molecules are approximately 80 nucleotides in length. Their secondary structure includes four short double-helical elements and three loops (D, anti-codon, and T loops). Lineage: Bacteria; Pseudomonadati; Bacteroidota; Bacteroidia; Bacteroidales; Muribaculaceae. The record is from RNAcentral.
UCGGGGUGUAGCGCAGUCCGGUUAGCGCACCUGGUUUGGGACCAGGGGGUCGAAGGUUCGAAUCCUUUCACACCGAC